Molecule: non-coding RNA, 31 nt
Filed under: Mus musculus (house mouse)
Lineage: Eukaryota; Metazoa; Chordata; Mammalia; Rodentia; Muridae
Source: RNAcentral
UGUUGAACUGGCUUNCAAAAAACGUGGAUGC